CGUUCCCGUUCCCGUUCCCCCAAUCAUCCAACUUUUGUUUCUCAUCCAUUUUCCUUCAUUUUCUCGCUUCCUUUUCUUCACUCCGUCAAAAUCCACCAAAUAUUCUCCUCUAAUUCCCCCAACAAACUUCAUCUUUCUCCAAAAACUCAGAUCCGAAGAUCUCAAUCUCAGGAAUGUGUGUUCUCACCUUUUCAUUAAGGAUGCUGUUUGUCGUUUGUUCUGCGUGAUUUCUCCUUUUAAUGGAAUUUCCGAUCAUUAACAUCAUCUGCCUGGAAGGUGUGGAUCAGAGAUUCAGACGCAGUGUUUGAUGAUUUUGAAUUAAGAAUCGACGCUGUACUUGUAUUGGGAAAGGAAUUGUCUGACGAGGAAGCAUAUUUUUUUUUGUAUGGUGGACUAAAUUUUGAGUUGAUUGAUAUAUAAAGGGCGAGCUUGGUGGAUUAGUUAAUUAGGUCAUGGAGCAUAUUAUAGGUGGGAAGUUUAAGCUUGGAAGGAAGAUCGGUAGCGGAUCAUUUGGGGAACUUUAUUUGGGUACAAAUGUACAGACAGGAGAGGAAGUGGCUGUGAAGCUGGAAUCUGCAAAGACCAAGCACCCUCAGCUUCACUAUGAGUCAAAACUAUACAUGCUUCUUCAAGGAGGAACCGGUAUCCCCCAUCUCAAAUGGUUUGGAGUUGAAGGUGAUUACAAUGUCAUGGUUAUUGAUCUCCUUGGUCCAAGCCUAGAAGAUUUGUUCAACUACUGCAAUCGGAAACUCUCCUUGAAGUCAGUUUUGAUGCUGGCAGAUCAGUUGAUAAACAGAGUUGAAUAUAUGCAUUCAAGGGGUUUCCUUCAUCGUGACAUAAAGCCGGACAAUUUUCUAAUGGGUUUGGGGCGAAAGGCUAAUCAGGUGUACAUCAUUGACUAUGGUCUUGCAAAGAAGUAUAGAGAUCUUCAGACACACAAGCAUAUACCAUACAGAGAAAAUAAGAAUCUCACCGGAACUGCUCGCUAUGCAAGUGUCAAUACUCAUCUUGGAGUUGAGCAAAGCAGGAGGGAUGAUUUAGAAUCACUGGGCUAUGUGCUGAUGUAUUUUCUUAGGGGAAGCCUUCCUUGGCAAGGACUGAAGGCAGGGACUAAAAAGCAAAAAUAUGAUAAGAUCAGUGAAAAGAAGAUGCUUACUCCGGUAGAGGUCCUCUGCAAGUCAUAUCCAUCAGAAUUUACAUCCUACUUUCACUAUUGUCGGUCACUGAGGUUUGAAGAUAAACCUGAUUAUUCAUAUCUGAAGAGAUUAUUCCGAGACCUUUUCAUCCGUGAAGGAUAUCAAUUUGACUAUGUAUUUGACUGGACUAUACUCAAAUAUCCACAGAUUGGCUCCAGUUCAAAAGCACGACCCAGUGGAAAACCAGGUCACACCCCAGGACCAUCCGCUGAAAGAGGGGAAAAGCAUCCAGGUCCGUUCCUUUACUCAGGAAGGAUAGGUGGGACAAGAAAUCCGAGAUAGAUACCCUGGUGGAGCAGAGGCAUUCGGAAGAAGGAACGCCAGUGGGCAUUUGCAUGGUGAUCAUUCCAGACACAGAUCUGAUGAUGUACCAUCUUCCAAGGAUGUGCAACCUGAUUCAGAAAGGGGCCGCAGUAGUUAUAGGAAUGGAAGCAUUUCAAAGAGGCCUGUUCUAUCAAGCAGUCGGCCAAGCUCCUCUGGGGAGCCAAGUGAAAUCCGAUCAAGUCGCCUGGUGUCAGCCAGUAGUCGUCUAUCUGCAGGCCAAAGGGUUCAACCUGGUUUUGAGUCCAAAACAACAACUUUUACCCGUUCUUCAACCACAAAAGGUGGUCGUGAUGAUGCACUCCGGAGCUUUGAGCUGUUGUCUAUUGGAACUGGCAAGAGGAAAUGAAAAAGGAUACAGAUCAAUGUGGGUAACUAGUGACCGUGUGAAUGGUCAACACAACACCCUAUGUAUCUUCUGUAAAAUGCCUCAGCUCUAUGGUAUUUUAUAUCAAUUGAACAUGUAUAUGUGUAUCUCGAUCAUUAGUUGGCUCGGUUCGUCCACACUAUAAAAUUUAAUGAAAUCUCCAAAAAACAUUGGUUGGAAGCGAAACCUCCAUGAAUUUUCUUGGUUACAAUGGUGCCUGUUUCGUUCUAGGAAUUUGUUAAUACAUUUGAGACAGUUGUAAUAUACCUUCCAGGUAAAAUCUUUUUCAGGUGAAGGGACCCUGCUGAAACUCAAAGAUGCUUUUUUCUGUCCUCU
RNA transcript from Cucumis sativus (cucumber), 2220 nucleotides. It is a transcript of the gene named casein kinase 1-like protein 10, with no coding region annotated. Lineage: Eukaryota; Viridiplantae; Streptophyta; Magnoliopsida; Cucurbitales; Cucurbitaceae. The transcript is spliced from 15 exons. The record is from RefSeq and is a predicted model, not a curated record.